The sequence is a ribosomal RNA, 494 nucleotides long. It matches the Rfam family "Bacterial small subunit ribosomal RNA", at positions 1 to 476 of the family's 1533-position model.
UUUUAUGGAGAGUUUGAUCCUGGCUCAGGAUGAACGCUGGCGGCGUGCCUAAUACAUGCAAGUCGAGCGAACGGACGAGAAGCUUGCUUCUCUGAUGUUAGCGGCGGACGGGUGAGUAACACGUGGAUAACCUACCUAUAAGACUGGGAUAACUUCGGGAAACCGGAGCUAAUACCGGAUAAUAUUUUGAACCGCAUGGUUCAAAAGUGAAAGACGGUCUUGCUGUCACUUAUAGAUGGAUCCGCGCUGCAUUAGCUAGUUGGUAAGGUAACGGCUUACCAAGGCAACGAUGCAUAGCCGACCUGAGAGGGUGAUCGGCCACACUGGAACUGAGACACGGUCCAGACUCCUACGGGAGGCAGCAGUAGGGAAUCUUCCGCAAUGGGCGAAAGCCUGACGGAGCAACGCCGCGUGAGUGAUGAAGGUCUUCGGAUCGUAAAACUCUGUUAUUAGGGAAGAACAUAUGUGUAAGUAACUGUGCACAUCUUGACGGU